AUGUAUGCAGCGGUAACAGUAAUCCUACAGAUGCUUGUCAAUAAGAUAAGGAGCAUGAACAGCCAGAAGGAGCAAAUGGCCCCAUGGAGGAGAAGGCUAGAGGCAAAAAUCAUGGCAACAUGGAGAGAAGUCAGCCUGUUUGAGAUGUUUCAGUCAGGCUUUAGAGCUCACCACAGCACAGAAACGGCACUUCUUAAAGUUACUAAUGAUCUUCUCAUAGCUUCAGAUCAUGGACUGGUCUCUAUUCAACCUGAGCCUGAAGCUGGGGAGAGUGCCACAGCUGUGGAAGACGUCCUGCAUCGUCCCAGUGCCGAAGACAGCUACAGGCCGGUAGCUCUGACGUCUCAUCUGAUAAAGGCGCUGGAGAGACUCAUCCUCGAUCACCUGCGCCUACUGGUGAGCUCCUUCAUGGACCCGUUGCAGUUCGCCUACCAGCCGAGCAUCGGGGUAGACGAUGCCGUCAUCUACCUCCUUCACACCUCCCUCACUCACCUGGAGAAGGCUGGAAGGACUGUGAGGAUCAUGUUUUUUGAUUUCUCCACUGCAUUCAACACCAUCCAGCCCAGGCUGCUGGAGGACAGGCUGCAGGUAGCUGGGGUGGAUCACCACCUCACAACAAGGACUUUGGACUACCUCACACAAAGACCACAGUAUGUGAGGGUAAAGGGCUCCGAGUCAGAUCGGCUUCUCUGCAGCACUGGUGCCCCGCAGGGAACAGUUCUGGCUCCUUUCCUGUUCACCCUCUACACCGCGGACUUUUCACACAGUACAUCUUCAUGUCACCUCCAGAAGUUCUCUGACAACUCUGCUGCUGUCGGCCUCAUCACUGAUGGGGACGAUAUGGAGUACAGAGAACUUAUUCAGGACUUUGUGGACUGGAGCCUGCGGAACAACCUCCAGAUCAACGCUGGCAAAACCAAGGAGCUGGUGGUGGAUUUCCGCAGGCGUAACAACCCCCCGCCAGCACCAGUGAACAUCCUGGGAACGGAUGUUGACAUCGUGGAGUCGUACAAGUACCUGGGUGUUCACUUAAACAAUAACCUGGACUGGACACACAACACAGACGCCCUUGUCUAG
RNAcentral lists this long non-coding RNA (1077 nucleotides) under Takifugu rubripes (torafugu). Its description in RNAcentral is "lncRNA (ENSTRUG00000030737.1)". The record is from RNAcentral. Lineage: Eukaryota; Metazoa; Chordata; Actinopteri; Tetraodontiformes; Tetraodontidae.